Molecule: ribosomal RNA, 253 nt
Filed under: uncultured bacterium
Lineage: Bacteria
Description: partial 16S ribosomal RNA
Rfam family: Bacterial small subunit ribosomal RNA
Source: RNAcentral
UACAGAGGUCUCAAGCGUUGUUCGGAAUCACUGGGCGUAAAGGGAGCGUAGGCGGGCUCUUAAGUUAGGUGUUUAAUCCCGGGGCCCAACCCCGGACAGGCACCUAAAACUGGGAGUCUUGAAUAGUGGAGAGGACGGCGGAAUUGGGGGUGUAGCGGUGGAAUGCGUAGAGAUCCCCAAGAACACCAGUUGCGAAGGCGGCCGUCUGGACACAUAUUGACGCUGAGGCUCGAAAGCAUGGGGAGCAAACAGG